Molecule: ribosomal RNA, 377 nt
Filed under: Nematoda sp.
Lineage: Eukaryota; Metazoa; Nematoda
Description: SSU rRNA
Rfam family: Eukaryotic small subunit ribosomal RNA
Source: RNAcentral
CUGAAUAACUCAGCUGAUCGCAUGGUCUCGUACCGGCGACGUAUCUUCCAAGUGUCUGCCUUAUCAACUUUUGAUGGUAGUUUAUGCGACUACCAUGGUUGUAACGGGUAACGGAGAAUAAGGGUUCGACUCCGGAGAGGGAGCCUGAGAAACGGCUACCACAUCCAAGGAAGGCAGCAGGCGCGCAAAUUACCCAAUCUCAGAACGAGGAGGUAGUGACGAAAAAUAACGAGACGGUUCUCUAUGAGGCCCGUUAUCGGAAUGAGUACAAUUCAAACCUUUUAACGAGGAUCUACGAGAGGGCAAGUCUGGUGCCAGCAGCCCGCGGUAAUUCCCAGCUCUCGAAGUGUAUAUCAUUGUUGUUUGCGGUUAAAAAA